Small nucleolar RNA from Eptesicus fuscus (big brown bat), 209 nucleotides. RefSeq annotates it as small nucleolar RNA U3. The record is from RefSeq and is a predicted model, not a curated record. Lineage: Eukaryota; Metazoa; Chordata; Mammalia; Chiroptera; Vespertilionidae. The transcript has a single exon.
AAGACUACACUUUCAGGGACCACUGUUCAUAGUGUGUAACUAGAGAAGGGUCUGAAAGGAGCAGAGCAUGGGGCAUUAGAAACCCCGAGGAAGAGCUGUGGCGCUCUCUCUGUGUGCUGUUGGCCAGUAGUGCCACCUGGUGGACCUCUGCCUUUCUGUUGAAAAUUGUUCUUUUCUUCCUUAAAGGCAGAGGACACAGAUUGAGGGAU